GACGAACGCUGGCGGCGUGCUUAACACAUGCAAGUCGAACGGAAAGGCCCUGCUUUUGUGGGGUGCUCGAUUGGCGAACGGGUGAGUAACACGUGAGUAACCUGCCCUUGACUUUGGGAUAACUUCAGGAAACUGGGGCUAAUAUCGGAUAGGAGCUCCUGCUGCAUGGUGGGGAUUGGAAAGUUUCGGCGGUUGGGGAUGGACUCGCGGCUUAUCGGCUGGUUGGUGGGGUAGUGGCUUACCAAGGCUUCGACGGGUAGCCGGCCUGAGAGGGUGACCGGCCACAUGGGUACUAAGAGACGGCGCAGUAGGCUACGGGAGGCAGCAGUCGGGAGUAUGGCACAAUGGGCGGGAGCCAGAUGCAGCAACGCCGCGUGCGGAAUGACGGCCUUCGGGUUGUAAACCGAUUUCGCAUGUGACGAAGCGUGAGUGACGGUAAUGAGUAAAGAAGCACCGGCUAACUACGUG
RNAcentral lists this ribosomal RNA (468 nucleotides) under uncultured bacterium. RNAcentral describes it as "partial 16S ribosomal RNA". It matches the Rfam family "Bacterial small subunit ribosomal RNA", at positions 28 to 507 of the family's 1533-position model. The record is from RNAcentral.